UACGUAGGGGGCUAGCGUUGCUCGGAAUCACUGGGCGUAAAGCGCACGUAGGCGGCUUUCUACGUCAGGGGUGAAAUCCUGGAGCUCAACUCCAGAACUGCCUUUGAUACUGGAGAGCUUGAGUCCGGGAGAGGUGAGUGGAACUCCGAGUGUAGAGGUGAAAUUCGUAGAUAUUCGGAAGAACGCCAGUGGCGAAGGCGGCUCACUGGCCCGGUACUGACGCUGAUGUGCGAAAGCGUGGGGAGCAAACAGG
This 253-nucleotide ribosomal RNA is filed under the name uncultured bacterium. Its description in RNAcentral is "partial 16S ribosomal RNA". It matches the Rfam family "Bacterial small subunit ribosomal RNA", at positions 524 to 776 of the family's 1533-position model. The record is from RNAcentral.